This 364-nucleotide ribosomal RNA is filed under the name uncultured bacterium. RNAcentral's name for it is "partial 16S ribosomal RNA". It matches the Rfam family "Bacterial small subunit ribosomal RNA", at positions 338 to 699 of the family's 1533-position model. The record is from RNAcentral.
CCUCCGGGAGGCAGCAGUGAGGAAUAUUGGUCAAUGGACGCAAGUCUGAACCAGCCAUGCCGCGUGCAGGAAGACGGCCCUAUGAGUUGUAAACUGCUUUUGUACGGGGGUAAACGCUGAUAUGCGUACCUGUCUGAAAUUAUCUUACGAAUAAGGAUCGGCUAACUCCGUGCCAGCAGCCGCGGUAAUACGGAGGAUUCAAGCGUUAUCCGGAUUUAUUGGGUUGAAAGUGUGCGUAGGCGGUCGGAUAAGUUAGAGGUGAAAUCCCGGGGCUCAACUUCGGAACUGCAUCUGAUACUGUUCGGCUAGAGAGUAGUUGAGGUAGGCGGAAUGCAAGGUGUAGCGGUGAAAUGCUUAGAGAUCA